Molecule: unclassified non-coding RNA, 345 nt
Filed under: soil metagenome
Description: partial contains 5.8S ribosomal RNA, internal transcribed spacer 2, and large subunit ribosomal RNA
Rfam family: 5.8S ribosomal RNA (bases 1-120)
Source: RNAcentral
GAUGAAGAACGCAGCGAAACGCGAUACGUAAUGUGAAUUGCAGAAUUCAGUGAAUCAUCGAAUCUUUGAACGCACAUUGCGCCCCCUGGUAUUCCGGGGGGCAUGCCUGUCCGAGCGCCAUUGCUGCCCUCAAGCACGGCUUGUGUGUUGGGCCUCCGUCCUCCUCCCGGGGGACGGGCCCGAAAGGCAGCGGCGGCACCGCGUCCGGUCCUCGAGCGUAUGGGGCUUCGUCACCCGCUCUUGUAGGCCCGGCCGGCGCUUGCCGACACAUCAAUCUUUUUUCCAGGUUGACCUCGGAUCAGGUAGGGAUACCCGCUGAACUUAAGCAUAUCAAUAAGCGGAGGA